UCCACAUGUUACCGUGCAUAUAUACAAUUUAAAUCCCUAUAAUUGCAAAAUGAAUUUUGUACAUGAAAAAGAUCUGAAUUAAGAAGAAGAAGCUUUUUAACAGUUUAUCAGAUAGAUCUCCAUUGUAAAAACUUAAGAUCAUUGCUUCAAAACGGACUUACAAGCAGUGACCCAGGAGAACUGGAUGAAAAAGAUGAAGAUGAAGAACAACAAGUUGAUAUUUUGGAACAAAACAAUACGGAACAGAAUUUUCCGGAACCGAAGACCCCGGAAGAACAUAAGAUAAAAAUGCGGAAAAGAGAAGAAUAUAACGGAAAUCCGGAGAAAAAGGAGACUGAGAAUAAGAUCAUGGAAGAGUGGCUGGAAUUUGAGAAAAUGUACAAACAUGAGAAGAACAGAGAAAAUGGAAUGGAUUCCUCCCCCUACUGUACGGAUAGUAUAAAACGGACAAGACGUGAAUCCCUUACAAGGUUUGCAACUGGAGCUAAAGAACAGAUAAUGAUGUUCCAAACUCCAACUCCAAUUAA
Molecule: long non-coding RNA, 527 nt
Organism: Eurytemora carolleeae
Lineage: Eukaryota; Metazoa; Arthropoda; Copepoda; Calanoida; Temoridae
Exons: 5
Source: RefSeq, a predicted model, not a curated record